UGUUCUGACAGUGCUCCACCCUUCCACGCUUACAGACUGUAGACGGUGAGGAGCUACAGAACUAUAAAAGCACAGAGGCUUACAUGCGUAGGAAUUGCUGAAGGUAAACAUCAGGCGUGGGUAAUGCUGAGGGAAAGUGGAGUAGUGGAGACGGUGGGUUACUCGUGCAUUGCAGGGUUA
Molecule: long non-coding RNA, 180 nt
Organism: Trichomycterus rosablanca
Lineage: Eukaryota; Metazoa; Chordata; Actinopteri; Siluriformes; Trichomycteridae
Exons: 3
Source: RefSeq, a predicted model, not a curated record